AAUAAUUAGAUAAUAAAAAGAGGCAAUCCCCUUAGAUGGUGGUCCAUUAGUGUUGUCUUCAGCGAUGUUGUCUACAAGAAAUAAAAUAGUCAAAGGACAACUUUGAAAACAGUUUUAUAUAGUCCAUCUACAUACAAAAAAAAAAAGAGUAGCGAGAUGGACAAUACGUUUAGUAGGUUUUCUGACACCAGAAAAGGAUAACUAUAUAAGAUUAGUUGUAUAAGUGAUCAACAACAUUUUCCGUCUUCAGCUGCGUAAUUCUGGUCCAUCAAAAGUUUGUGUUUAAGGACAAGGAUUUAUGUCCUCCGCAGUGGAUCGAAGAGACGAUCUGAUAAGGACAAAAUUAUAGUGUUACAAUGGACAACAGCAUAAUGGAACUCAAG
This 383-nucleotide long non-coding RNA is filed under the name Capsella rubella. Its description in RNAcentral is "long non-coding RNA (CRUB_LNC002805)". Lineage: Eukaryota; Viridiplantae; Streptophyta; Magnoliopsida; Brassicales; Brassicaceae. The record is from RNAcentral.